This 460-nucleotide ribosomal RNA is filed under the name uncultured bacterium. RNAcentral's name for it is "partial 16S ribosomal RNA". It matches the Rfam family "Bacterial small subunit ribosomal RNA", at positions 338 to 795 of the family's 1533-position model. The record is from RNAcentral.
CCUACGGGAGGCAGCAGUGAGGAAUAUUGGUCAAUGGGCGCGAGCCUGAACCAGCCAAGUCGCGUGAGGGAAGACGGUCCUAUGGAUUGUAAACCUCUUUUGUCGGGGAGCAAAAGACGCCACGCGUGGCGUUUCGAGAGUACCCGAAGAAAAAGCAUCGGCUAACUCCGUGCCAGCAGCCGCGGUAAUACGGAGGAUCCGAGCGUUAUCCGGAUUUAAUGGGUUUAAAGGGUGCGGAGGCGGGAGGAUAAGUCAGCGGUAAAAUUCGGGGGCUCAACCCUCUCGGUGCCGUUGAAACUGGUUUUCUUGAGUGAGUGAGAAGUAGGCGGAAUGCGUGGUGUAGCGGUGAAAUGCAUAGAUAUCACGCAGAACUCCGAUUGCGAAGGCAGCAUACCGGCGCUCAACUGACGCUGAUGCACGAAAGUGUGGGGAUCGAACAGGAUUAGAUACCCGAGUAGUC